RNAcentral lists this ribosomal RNA (429 nucleotides) under Acidobacteriota bacterium. RNAcentral's name for it is "Acidobacteria bacterium partial 16S ribosomal RNA". It matches the Rfam family "Bacterial small subunit ribosomal RNA", at positions 355 to 776 of the family's 1533-position model. Lineage: Bacteria; Pseudomonadati; Acidobacteriota. The record is from RNAcentral.
UGGGGAAUUUUGGACAAUGGGGGAAACCCUGAUCCAGCCAUCCCGCGUGUGCGAUGAAGGCCUUCGGGUUGUAAAGCACUUUUGGCAGGAAAGAAACGUCAUGGGUUAAUACCCCGUGAAACUGACGGUACCUGCAGAAUAAGCACCGGCUAACUACGUGCCAGCAGCCGCGGUAAUACGUAGGGUGCAAGCGUUAAUCGGAAUUACUGGGCGUAAAGCGUGCGCAGGCGGUUCGGAAAGAAAGAUGUGAAAUCCCAGAGCUCAACUUUGGAACUGCAUUUUUAACUGCCGGGCUAGAGUGUGUCAGAGGGAGGUGGAAUUCCGCGUGUAGCAGUGAAAUGCGUAGAUAUGCGGAGGAACACCGAUGGCGAAGGCAGCCUCCUGGGAUAACACUGACGCUGAUGCACGAAAGCGUGGGGAGCAAACAGG